Molecule: ribosomal RNA, 386 nt
Filed under: uncultured bacterium
Lineage: Bacteria
Description: bacterial SSU rRNA
Rfam family: Bacterial small subunit ribosomal RNA
Source: RNAcentral
AUUGAACGCUGGCGGCAUGCUUUACACAUGCAAGUCGAACGGUAACAGGCCUUCGGGUGCUGACGAGUGGCGAACGGGUGAGUAAUGCAUCGGAACGUGCCCAAUCGUGGGGGAUAACGUAGCGAAAGUUACGCUAAUACCGCAUAAGCCCUGAGGGGGAAAGUGGGGACCGCAAGGCCUCACGCGAAUGGAGCGGCCGAUGUCAGAUUAGCUAGUUGGUGGGGUAAAGGCCCACCAAGGCGACGAUCUGUAGCGGGUCUGAGAGGAUGAUCCGCCACACUGGGACUGAGACACGGCCCAGACUCCUACGGGAGGCAGCAGUGGGGAAUUUUGGACAAUGGGCGCAAGCCUGAUCCAGCCAUGCCGCGUGCGGGACGAAGGCCUGG